AACGAACGCUGGCGGCGCGCCUAAUACAUGCAAGUCGAACGAGAAGCUGUAGCAAUACAGUUGUACAGUGGCGAACGGGUGAGGAAUACAUGGGUGACCUACCCUCGAGUGGGGAAUAACCAGCCGAAAGGUUGGCUAAUACCGCGUGCGCUUCCCAGUCUACGGGUUGGGAAGGAAAGCGAUGCCGUGGGUAUCGCGCUCAAGGUUGGGCUCAUGUCCUAUCAGCUGUUGGUGGGGUAACGGCUCACCAAGGCAACGACGGGUAGCUGGUCUGAGAGGACGAUCAGCCACACUGGCACUGCGACACGGGCCAGACUCCUACGGGAGGCAGCAGUAAGGAAUAUUGCGCAAUGGGCGAAAGCCUGACGCAGCGACGCCGCGUGGGGGA
RNAcentral lists this ribosomal RNA (388 nucleotides) under uncultured bacterium. Its description in RNAcentral is "bacterial SSU rRNA". It matches the Rfam family "Bacterial small subunit ribosomal RNA", at positions 29 to 408 of the family's 1533-position model. The record is from RNAcentral.